This 463-nucleotide ribosomal RNA is filed under the name uncultured bacterium. RNAcentral describes it as "bacterial SSU rRNA". It matches the Rfam family "Bacterial small subunit ribosomal RNA", at positions 960 to 1415 of the family's 1533-position model. RNAcentral also lists the same sequence under 1 other name. The record is from RNAcentral.
CGCGAAGAACCUUACCUGGGCUUGACAUCACCGAAAUCACCUUUAUACGGUGAGUGCCUCGAUUUAUCGAGGAAUCGUGUGACAGGUGCUGCAUGGCUGUCGUCAGUUCGUGUCGUGAGAUGUUGGGUUAAGUCCCGCAACGAACGCAACCCCUGUCUUUAGUUACCAGCAUUAAGUUGGGGACUCUAGAGAGACUGCCAAGGUGACAACUUGGAGGAAGGUGGGGACGACGUCAAGUCAUCAUGGUCCUUACGUCCAGGGCUAGAAACGUACUACAAUGGUUGGCACAGAGGGCAGCAACACAGCGAUGUGAAGCAAAUCCUUAAAACCAACCUCAGUUCGGAUUGGAGUCUGCAACUCGACUCCAUGAAGUUGGAAUCGCUAGUAAUCGCGGAUCAGCAAUGCCGCGGUGAAUACGUUCCCGGGUCUUGUACACACCGCCCGUCAAGUCAACCGAGUUAUU